This 493-nucleotide ribosomal RNA is filed under the name uncultured bacterium. RNAcentral's name for it is "partial 16S ribosomal RNA". It matches the Rfam family "Bacterial small subunit ribosomal RNA", at positions 28 to 505 of the family's 1533-position model. The record is from RNAcentral.
GGCGAACGCUGGCGGCGUGCCUAAUACAUGCAAGUAGAACGCUGAAGGAGGAGCUUGCUUCUCUGGAUGAGUUGCGAACGGGUGAGUAACGCGUAGGUAACCUGCCUGGUAGCGGGGGAUAACUAUUGGAAACGAUAGCUAAUACCGCAUAAUAUUGACUAUUGCAUGAUAGUCAGUUGAAAGGUGCAACUGCACCACUACCAGAUGGACCUGCGUUGUAUUAGCUAGUUGGUGGGGUAACGGCUCACCAAGGCGACGAUACAUAGCCGACCUGAGAGGGUGAUCGGCCACACUGGGACUGAGACACGGCCCAGACUCCUACGGGAGGCAGCAGUAGGGAAUCUUCGGCAAUGGACGGAAGUCUGACCGAGCAACGCCGCGUGAGUGAAGAAGGUUUUCGGAUCGUAAAGCUCUGUUGUAAGAGAAGAACGAGUGUGAGAGUGGAAAGCUCACACUGUGACGGUAUCUUACCAGAAAGGGACGGCUAACUACG